Molecule: long non-coding RNA, 264 nt
Filed under: Erythranthe guttata (spotted monkey flower)
Lineage: Eukaryota; Viridiplantae; Streptophyta; Magnoliopsida; Lamiales; Phrymaceae
Description: long non-coding RNA (EGUT_LNC002543)
Source: RNAcentral
UUUCAAAAAAGUUUCUAAAUUUUGCGAUUUGACCCAAGAAUUUGUAUUAUUUAUAUUUAAGUUCUAUUGAAUUUAUGUUUAUUAUAAAAAAGAUUUUAGGGGCAUUUGAGACUUUCAAGUCAAAAAACCAUCAACAAGUCGCACAAAACGCGCGUAUGUCACACGAUUUGCUGGUAGGGGGGCGGGUGACUUUGACUUGUUAACAUAGGGGGGUAAGUGCUAAUUGUUUUUACAUAGGGACUUUUUCGGCAAUUAGACAUAUCA